This 500-nucleotide ribosomal RNA is filed under the name Epicoccum nigrum. RNAcentral's name for it is "eukaryotic LSU rRNA". The stretch from base 128 to 281 matches the Rfam family "5.8S ribosomal RNA". Lineage: Eukaryota; Fungi; Ascomycota; Dothideomycetes; Pleosporales; Didymellaceae. The record is from RNAcentral.
UUCGGUCUGCUACCUCUUACCCAUGUCUUUUGAGUACCUUCGUUUCCUCGGCGGGUCCGCCCGCCGAUUGGACAACAUUCAAACCCUUUGCAGUUGCAAUCAGCGUCUGAAAAAACAUAAUAGUUACAACUUUCAACAACGGAUCUCUUGGUUCUGGCAUCGAUGAAGAACGCAGCGAAAUGCGAUAAGUAGUGUGAAUUGCAGAAUUCAGUGAAUCAUCGAAUCUUUGAACGCACAUUGCGCCCCUUGGUAUUCCAUGGGGCAUGCCUGUUCGAGCGUCAUUUGUACCUUCAAGCUCUGCUUGGUGUUGGGUGUUUGUCUCGCCUCUGCGUGUAGACUCGCCUUAAAACAAUUGGCAGCCGGCGUAUUGAUUUCGGAGCGCAGUACAUCUCGCGCUUUGCACUCAUAACGACGACGUCCAAAAGUACAUUUUUACACUCUUGACCUCGGAUCAGGUAGGGAUACCCGCUGAACUUAAGCAUAUCAAUAAAGCGGGAGGA